AAUGGGGGAAACCCUGAUCCAGCAAUGCCGCGUGAGUGAUGAAGGCCCUAGGGUUGUAAAACUCUUUCAGAAGUGAAGAUGAUGACGGUAACUUCAGAAGAAGCUCCGACUAACUCCGUGCCAGCAGCCGCGGUAAUACGGAGGGAGCUAGCGUUGUUCGGAAUUACUGGGCGUAAAGAGCGUGUAGGCUGUUAGGUAAGUCAGAGGUGAAAUCCCUAAGCUCAACUUAGGAACUGCCUUUGAUACUAUCUUACUAGAGAUCGAGAGAAGUUAGCGGAAUUCCAAGUGUAGAGGUGAAAUUCGUAGAUAUUUGGAAGAACACCAGUGGCGAAAGCGGCUAACUGGCUCGUAUCUGACGCUGAGACGCGAAAGCGUGGGUAGCAAACAGGAUU
Molecule: ribosomal RNA, 392 nt
Filed under: uncultured Gammaproteobacteria bacterium
Lineage: Bacteria; Pseudomonadati; Pseudomonadota; Gammaproteobacteria
Description: bacterial SSU rRNA
Rfam family: Bacterial small subunit ribosomal RNA
Source: RNAcentral